RNAcentral lists this ribosomal RNA (628 nucleotides) under Hepatozoon sp. CCS-2010. RNAcentral's name for it is "partial 18S ribosomal RNA". It matches the Rfam family "Eukaryotic small subunit ribosomal RNA", at positions 188 to 801 of the family's 1831-position model. Lineage: Eukaryota; Apicomplexa; Hepatozoidae. The record is from RNAcentral.
UGUUUUAGAAGAGAAGCAUUUAUUAGAUAAAAAACCAAUAUAUGUUUUUAAAGCAUAAAAUUUGGUGAUUUACAAUAACUAAGCAAAUCGCACAGUGCAAACUGGCGAUAAAUCAUUCAAGUUUCUGACCUAUCAGCUUUCGACGGUAUGGUAUUGGCUUACCGUGGCAGUGACGGUUAACGGGGGAUUAGGGUUCGAUUCCGGAGAGGGAGCCUGAGAAACGGCUACCACAUCUAAGGAAGGCAGCAGGCGCGCAAAUUACCCAAUUCUAACAGCAUAAGAGAGGUAGUGACAAGAAAUAACAGUACAAGGCAGUUAAAAUGCUUUGUAAUUGGAAUGAUAGAAAUUUAAAUACUUUUUAAAGUAUCAAUUGGAGGGCAAGUCUGGUGCCAGCAGCCGCGGUAAUUCCAGCUCCAAUAGCGUAUAUUAAAAUUGUUGCAGUUAAAAAGCUCGUAGUUGAAUUUUUGCUAAAAAUAACCGGUCUGCUUUUAUUAAUAAAAGUGGUAUCUUGGUGUGUUUUUAGCAAUAACGUCCUUUGAAAUGUUUUUUACUUUAUUGUAAAAAGCAAUUUUCAGGAUUUUUACUUUGAGAAAAUUAGAGUGUUUCAAGCAGGCUAACGUUUUGAAUA